UACGUAGGGUGCAAGCGUUGUCCGGAUUUAUUGGGCGUAAAGCGCUCGCAGGUGGUUCGUCGCGUCGUGCGUGAAAGACCCCGGCUCAACUGGGGAGGGUCGUGCGAUACGGGCGGACUGGAGGCCAGUAGGGGGAUGCGGAAUUCCGGGUGUAGUGGUGGAAUGCGUAGAGAUCCGGAGGAACACCAGCGGCGAAGGCGGCAUCCUGGACUGGUCCUGACACUCAGGAGCGAAAGCGUGGGGAGCGAUCCGG
Molecule: ribosomal RNA, 253 nt
Filed under: uncultured bacterium
Lineage: Bacteria
Description: partial 16S ribosomal RNA
Rfam family: Bacterial small subunit ribosomal RNA
Source: RNAcentral